UUUCCGUAGGUGAACCUGCGGAAGGAUCAUUAUGGUAUAACCUAGCUGCGAGGGCUGUCGCUGACCCGAAAGGUCGUGCACGCCCGAGUGCCCUCACACACAUCCAUCUCACCCCUAUGUGCACCACCGCGUGGGUCCGCCUUUGGCUUGUUCGGAGGGGGGCUUACGUUUGCACACAAUCUUUGUAUGCAGUGUAGAAUGUAUUUUUCGUUGUUGCGAUCACGCAAUCAAUACAACUUUCAACAACGGAUCUCUUGGCUCUC
RNAcentral lists this unclassified non-coding RNA (263 nucleotides) under plant metagenome. Its description in RNAcentral is "partial contains small subunit ribosomal RNA, internal transcribed spacer 1, and 5.8S ribosomal RNA". The record is from RNAcentral.